Molecule: ribosomal RNA, 253 nt
Filed under: uncultured bacterium
Lineage: Bacteria
Description: partial 16S ribosomal RNA
Rfam family: Bacterial small subunit ribosomal RNA
Source: RNAcentral
AACGUAGGUGGCAAGCGUUAUCCGGAUUUACUGGGCGUAAAGCGUGCGCAGGCGGUUUUGUAAGCCAGAUGUGAAAUCCCCGGGCUCAACCUGGGAAUGGCAUUUGGGACUGCAAGGCUGGAGUUUGGCAGAGGAGACUGGAAUUCCUGGUGUAGCAGUGAAAUGCGUAGAUAUCAGGAGGAAUACCGAUGGCGAAGGCAGGUCUCUGGGCUAUAACUGACGCUCAUGCACGAAAGCGUGGGGAGCAAACAGG